UGUUUCCUCUGUCCUGUGUGGAUCAUUGUUUGUCUCUCCUGUGUUCUGUGUGUUUCUGUGUUUCUGUGUUUCCUUUAGGAUUUAGUUUUUGGACAUUUGAUCUGUGAUACGUCUCUCGUCGUGACUUGUCUCAGGUGUGAGUCAGGGCCGUCGCUGCUUCAGAAACUGUGUGAGGCUGAAAUCUUCACACUGGGCCUUGUGGUGGAGGUGUGAGGCCCUCAGUGGGACACUGCUGCAGGCCUGGCCUUGUGUUUUGGGACCAGGUCUGUCAGUGUGAAACAACAAUAAACAAGUUAGCAAGAAGCUAACAGGGUGUAAGAUGAACGGAGCUGCUGUUCGCUGUAAACAGAUGAUUAGGUGCUGCCCUUUGAUUCCAAGUCUUUGACUAAAUCCAUCCUGAUCAUCCUGACAGCCGCUCUCUGUCGCUCUGAAGCAGUUGGCUGAUAAUGAGCCUCUUAUUUUCUCCUUUUUUUUUUUUUUCUCCCCUCCUUCACAUUAUGCUGUUUAUGAAACCACCCCCUCCCCCUCAUCCUCUGAGUCUAAAUCCCGAGUAAGCAGAGAGGGUUUGCAGACUUCACAUGUGUCUGCCCAUUUUCAGGUCAUGCAGUCUUUAUUGCAUUCACCCAAACAGUCUAAUAAAAUUAUCUGCCUUCA
Molecule: long non-coding RNA, 654 nt
Organism: Notolabrus celidotus (New Zealand spotty)
Lineage: Eukaryota; Metazoa; Chordata; Actinopteri; Labriformes; Labridae
Exons: 3
Source: RefSeq, a predicted model, not a curated record